This is an RNA transcript of Daucus carota subsp. sativus, 2535 nucleotides long. It is a transcript of the gene named putative pentatricopeptide repeat-containing protein At1g10330, with no coding region annotated. The record is from RefSeq and is a predicted model, not a curated record. Lineage: Eukaryota; Viridiplantae; Streptophyta; Magnoliopsida; Apiales; Apiaceae. The transcript has 6 exons.
UUCAAUUUAUAAGCGGAAAUAAAAAUCGUAGUGAGCUGCAUGACUCGCUGAUAUCUGCAUGUCUGAGCAUGCCUCACCCAGCUGAAAUAUCACUGCAACUCCUCCAAAAGCAUAUCAAACACUCUAAACAAAUCAAACAAAUACAUUCUUUUCUAAUCACCAACAAUCUCCUCCUCUUCAAUCCAAACACCAAUGCAUUUAAAUGGAUUUGCACACUUCUUUACAACACUCUCAUUAGAGCUUACCUCCACACAGAUCCUCACAACUCAUUAGUUUUACACAAACACAUGCUCGUCCAUCGAGUUCCACCAAAUAGUCACACUUACCCUUCACUUGUCAAAGCGGCAUCUCUUUUGCGCUCGUCGAAGUUACAUCUCUUGUUCCCUGGAUCACUUUAUAGUCAAGUGAUUAGACGUGGGGUGUUGAAAGACCCGUUUGUUGAGACGUCUUUUUUGUGUUUGUUUGCAGAAAAUGGGAAUCUUGGUGAUGCGCGGAAGGUGUUUGAUGAAAUGCCUGAACCGUGUGUUGUUUCGUAUAAUGCGAUGCUGGAUGCUUUGUGCAAGAAUGGGGAAAUGGGGUCGGCUGUUUUGGUGUUUCAAAGGAUGCCUGUGAGAGAUGUUGUUUCUUGGACGAGUGUUGUUAAUGGGUAUGGAAGAAAUGAGUGUUUUUACGAGGCGAUUGUGUUUUUUAGGAUGAUGAUGGUGCAUGGAGAUGUGAGGGAGUUUUAUGUGAAACCGAAUGAAGCUACGUUUGUUAGUGUGCUAUCCUCGUGUGCUAAUUUGCUAGGUGGAGGUGGUUUGUAUUAUGGAAAGCAAAUUCAUGCUUAUAUGAUCAAGAAUGAGAGGGAAUUGACUGUGUUCAUGGGGACGGCGAUGAUAGCACUCUAUGGAAAAUUGGGGUGCUUGGUGUAUGCUGUAAGAGUUUUUGACAAUAUGGUAGAUAAACAAGUGUGUGCUUGGAAUGCACUGAUUUCGUCUUUGGCUAUGAAUAGUAUGGAGAACCAUGCAUUAGAUAUGUUUGAGAAGAUGAAAAGUAAAGGAGUGAAGCCCAAUGAGGUCACUUUUGUUGCUGUCCUUGUUGCUUGUGCUCGUGCUAAUCUUGUGGAGCUAGGUUUAGAAUUGUUUGAGUCAAUGUCACGUGUGUCUAGAAUCGUUCCAAGAAUGGAGCACUACGGAUGUGUAGUAGAUCUUCUUGGCAGAGCUGGGCUCCUGACAGAAGCACAAGAAUUUAUUAGAAGAAUGCCUUUUGAGGCAGAUGCAUCUGUACUGGGAGCUUUAAUGGGUGCUUGCAAAGUGCAUGGAGCCAUCGAAUAUGGUAAUGAAGUUGCAAAAAGAGUUAUGGAAUUGCAACCACUGCAUUGUGGACGAUAUGUACUUUUGUCGAGUAUAUAUGCGGAAGCUGAUAGGUGGGACAAUGCCGCUGAAUUAAGGAAAGCCAUGGAUAUCAACCCUUAUGCAGAAUUUAGAUGGAGCUUUACUACUAUACAAAGAGAUGACCUUGUUAUGCAGGGAUUAUUAGAGAUCAGCCUCCAAGAGUAUCAGAUUAAUGUGUUUAAGAAACCACAGUCAAGUAACAAGUCUCUGCGUCACUGCUUCAUUCAUCCGACAACAGGCAAUUAUAAUCAUGAUUUGAAGACAAUGACAUGGAACAAAGGACAACAGACAACAGAAGACAUCUCAACACACAUGUAUCUUUUCAUGUAUAGGAGGAAAAGACCACACACCUGGUGCAGAUUUGCGUUUGAUUGCUACAGCAUCGUUCUUCAUUAUCAGUGCAGUGUCACCAGGCGAGGAACCACUCAAAUUCUCAUCCUGCUGAGACACCUUCGAGUCAUAAGUUUCAGACGUCGUGACUACAGAGUCACCUAAGGAUAUUUUUGAUGAUGAAGCAAGUUUCUCUUCACCUACGACGAAGGCUUUACUUUGACUGCUCCCAAUCUGUUCUGUAACCGGUUCUGCUGGUACAACUGCAUCAUAUACUAUCAUACUCGGGGAUUUUGAAAAGAUAUUCCCCAGGGAGUUAAGUAACCAUCGACAGCCAGAAGAGGAAUUAAAAGAAAUGGGGCCGGGUAAAUCAUCGUCUUGUUUUUUACUGCCACAGUAAAUACAAAUCAAUGACUUGGUCCCUCUCAGAAACUUGGCGUUGCAUUUUGUGCACCUCGGAAUCUCGGGCGGCGUAGACUUGUCGAGCUCGGAAAUGGAGGCGUCGAGUGAGGGAAGGGGAUGAAUGGACGGGUCGUGAGGAUCGUAUGUGGAUAGUCCGGAUUCUUUUCGGAGCAAGGCCUGGACUUUUUGUAUCAAAUCGUUGGGGAUCUCGGAUGCCAUUUAAUCUUGUUCCAAGUUCAAUUGAUAAUGCUGAAUUAGGGUUUGGUUUUACGCUGAUCUAAAUUUACGGUUUGUUGGUUUUCACCGUGACUGUUACCACGGUAAAGAUGUAUUGCCAAUUGGAACGAAGAUUAAAAAUACAUGCAGGGGUUAUUACUACUUUUUGUUAUUGUUUAAAUUUAUUAAUUAUAUAUUUAUAUUUUUGUUUAUA